UCAGUUCUGUGCCCAUUCAGAGGAGAAAUCAUGCCAACGUUGUUCACUGUAUUCUGGUUCACUGGUCAACAGGAUUCCCUUUUCUCAAAUUUCACAUAGUUUGCUAGUUGCUCUGAUUAGUGAGAGUGAGAGCAGAGUGCCAUUUAUUACUGUGGAGCCAGGUAUAAACAGUAGAUCUAGUCUCUCUCUUCUCAAAAACCACCUCUUCCAAGUUUAUUGUACGAGACCUUGAACAAACCCCUCCCAGCCAGAUGGGUUGUCAUCUUUGCCGGUAUUUUAAUGUAUAGUGACGGCGUUUCAUUUUUUUUUUCUUUUGUUGAGCAAGUGAGCUCAGUAGAGGCAUCAGUUAAAUCUCCAAUAGUGUAAUACUGUUUCAAUGAUCUGCUUUCUCAUCUUCUGUUCCCUGGCAGGUUUGAGUCUGGCUUUCGAUGUCCAUCAGUCACCAUCUGAAUUUAUCAUUAACCCUAAAGCCAAAGUUCAGAUUUUCUGCACCCAUGAUAAAACUGACUACUGGAUGAUGCUGUGGUACCAGCGCUCUCCCGGAGACACGGCUAUGAGGCUCAUCGGUUAUCUCUAUUAUGGAGAUGUCAAAAUGGAAGACUCAUACAAUAAGGAUUUUGAGAUCUCAGGAGACUUGAGUGGGAAUACAGCAAAGAAUGCAUCUCUUAUAUUUAAAAAUGUGGAACACAAGCAUACUGCAAUUUUCUACUGUGCAGCUAGCAAAGCACACUGACACAACUUGUCUCUGAACUUCACAAAUCCAUCAUCAGUGGUUUUAAAUAAUACAGAAUAAACUGCUUCAUCGCACCUGCUUUUGUGGCUUGUCAAAUACACCGGAGUGGUUAAAUUCCAUGAGGAAAUCUGCCAACAGCUAAACAAAUUUUAUGAAGGAAUCAGGUGAAAGGUCAAUGUGUAGAUGAAUGAAGUUAAACCAUUGUAGUAUUUAACUACACAUUUUAAAUCUACAGUAUAAUCUCCCUGGUGUAGAUUUGUCUGGAGCUUAAGGUCAGUCAUUCUGCAUGUACUUAUGUUCUUAUCAGAUAAACCUAUUACACUGUGAUGCUGUGGCAACAACUUUUACUAGAAAACAAGUCUCCUGAUCUAUUAAAAAAACAACAACAAAAAAAACUAAUCACAGUGCAUCUACAGUCCAGUCACAUACAGCAGGUGUCUAACGGUCUUUGUAACGCUAAUGCUGGAUAUAAUCAAAAAAUCUGCCUUGGGGAUAAAACCAGAAAUGAUUGGUUUUUCACUUUUUUUUCACCUUCUAGGUGUUUCAGUGGGAGUUCAGAUUUAUCAGUCACCUCCCGAUGUCAUCAGAGAAGCUGGUCAAGAUGUGCAGCUUUACUGCACACAUGGACAAAGUGAAUUCAGAGUAAUGCUGUGGUACCAGCAGCCACCAGAGGAC
Molecule: long non-coding RNA, 1408 nt
Organism: Betta splendens (Siamese fighting fish)
Lineage: Eukaryota; Metazoa; Chordata; Actinopteri; Anabantiformes; Osphronemidae
Exons: 3
Source: RefSeq, a predicted model, not a curated record